This 337-nucleotide ribosomal RNA is filed under the name Aeromonas allosaccharophila. RNAcentral describes it as "bacterial SSU rRNA". It matches the Rfam family "Bacterial small subunit ribosomal RNA", at positions 956 to 1297 of the family's 1533-position model. Lineage: Bacteria; Pseudomonadati; Pseudomonadota; Gammaproteobacteria; Aeromonadales; Aeromonadaceae. The record is from RNAcentral.
UCAACUUGAAGAACCUUACCUGGCCUGACAUGUGUGGAAUCCUGCAGAGAUGCGGGAGUCCCUUCGGGAAUCAGAACACAGAUGGCGCAUGGUUGUCGUCAGCUAGAGUGAUGAGAUGUUGGGUUAAGUCCUGCAACGAGCGCAACCCCGGUCCUUUGUUGCCAGCGUCGUAAUGGUGGGAAGUCAAGGGAGACUGCCGGUGAUAAACCGGAGGAAGGUGGGGAGGACGUCGAGUCCUCGUGGCCGUAACGGCCAGGUGUACACACCAGGUGCAGUGGCUCGUACAGAUGCAUGCAAGAUAGCGAUAGUGAGCUGUGACACCCGGGCGGAGAGAGGG